GACGAACGCUGGCGGCGUGCUUAACACAUGCAAGUCGAACGGAAAGGCCCUGCUUUUGUGGGGUGCUCGAGUGGCGAACGGGUGAGUAACACGUGAGUAACCUGCCCUUGACUUUGGGAUAACUUCAGGAAACUGGGGCUAAUACCGGAUAGGAGCUCCUGCUGCAUGGUGGGGGUUGGAAAGUUUCGGCGGUUGGGGAUGGACUCGCGGCUUAUCAGCUUGUUGGUGGGGUAGUGGCUUACCAAGGCUUUGACGGGUAGCCGGCCUGAGAGGGUGACCGGCCACAUUGGGACUGAGAUACGGCCCAGACUCCUACGGGAGGCAGCAGUGGGGAAUAGUGCACAAUGGGCGGAAGCCUGAUGCAGCAACGCCGCGUGCGGGAUGACGACCUUCGGGUUGUAAACCGCUUUCGCCUGUGACGAAGCGUGAGUGACGGUAAUGGGUAAAGAAGCACCGGCUAACUACGUG
Molecule: ribosomal RNA, 468 nt
Filed under: uncultured bacterium
Lineage: Bacteria
Description: partial 16S ribosomal RNA
Rfam family: Bacterial small subunit ribosomal RNA
Source: RNAcentral